GAUGAACGCUGGCGGCGUGCCUAAUACAUGCAAGUCGAGCGAACAGAUGAGGAGCUUGCUCCUCUGACGUUAGCGGCGGACGGGUGAGUAACACGUGGAUAACCUACCUAUAAGACUGGGAUAACUUCGGGAAACCGGAGCUAAUACCGGAUAAUAUAUUGAACCGCAUGGUUCAAUAGUGAAAGACGCUUUUGCUGUCACUUAUAGAUGGAUCCGCGCCGCAUUAGCUAGUUGGUAAGGUAACGGCUUACCAAGGCAACGAUGCGUAGCCGACCUGAGAGGGUGAUCGGCCACACUGGAACUGAGACACGGUCCAGACUCCUACGGGAGGCAGCAGUAGGGAAUCUUCCGCAAUGGGCGAAAGCCUGACGGAGCAACGCCGCGUGAGUGAUGAAGGUCUUCGGAUCGUAAAACUCCGUUAUUAGGGAAGAACAAAUGUGUAAGUAACUAUGCACGUCUUGACGGUACCUAAUCAGAAAGCCACGGCUAACUACGUG
Molecule: ribosomal RNA, 497 nt
Filed under: uncultured bacterium
Lineage: Bacteria
Description: partial 16S ribosomal RNA
Rfam family: Bacterial small subunit ribosomal RNA
Source: RNAcentral